RNA transcript from Gambusia affinis (western mosquitofish), 12556 nucleotides. It is a transcript of the gene named dystrophin, with no coding region annotated. The record is from RefSeq and is a predicted model, not a curated record. The transcript has 83 exons. NCBI's taxonomy places the organism in Eukaryota, Metazoa, Chordata, Actinopteri, Cyprinodontiformes, Poeciliidae.
CAGACCAAGCGGUCGUCCUUCUCUUCCUGCUUUAGUCCCCUCUGUCUUACCUCCUGUGUCCACUCCUUAUACCCCACCUUUGACUCGAUCUGGAUUUGUCCCUUCCCUCCUUCCUUGAGGAUUUAACUUGACCGUUUGGCUCAGCGGUAUCUAACUUUUCACAGCUGGCGGCCUGGUGAUGGCGGAGGGCAUGCGUCCUGAGGACUACUGCGACGAGCCGGUGGAAGAUGAGUUCGGAGAGAUCAUCAAGUGUCGGUCUGAUGAAAGAGAAGACGUUCAGAAGAAGACUUUCACAAAAUGGGUCAACUUGCAGUUGUGUAAGACAGGAAAGCCACCUGUGGAGGACCUGUUCUCAGAUCUGUGUGAUGGACGACGCCUGCUGGAGCUGCUGGAAGGCCUCAUAGGACACGAGCUAGUGAGACUGGAGAAAGGGACUAGCCGUGUUCACUCACUUAACAAUGUCAACCGUGCUCUGCAGAUCUUGCAGAAGAACAAUGUUGAUUUGGUGAACAUUGGAGCGGCAGACAUCGUUGAUGGGAAUCACAAACUGAUUCUCGGGCUCAUCUGGAGCAUUAUUCUCCACUGGCAGGUAAAGGAUGUGAUGAAGGAUGUGAUGGCGGGCCUACAGCAGACCAACAGUGAGAAGAUUCUGCUGAGCUGGGUUCGUCAGAACACACGGCAAUACCCUCAGGUGAAUGUGGUUAACUUCUCCAGUAGCUGGAAUGAUGGAUUGGCCUUCAACGCCCUCAUCCACAGCCACAGGCCGGAGCUGUUUGAAUGGAGCGCGGUGGAGAAGAAGACGUCGACGAUCGACAGGCUGGAUCACGCCUUCAGUAAGGCCGAGCAACACUUGGGCAUCGAGAGACUCCUGGACCCCGAAGAUGUGGCCGUCUCGCACCCCGACAAGAAGAGCAUCAUCAUGUACGUGACGUCGCUCUUCCGGGUUCUCCCCCAAAGCGUUUCCAUGGAGGCCAUCCAGGAAGUGGAGUCGCUGCCGUCGGCGACCACGGCCGGCCUCUCCCGCGUGACAACGGAGGAACACUAUCAGAUCCAGACCCAGCAGCGCUUCUCUCAGCAGAUCACAGUGAGUGUGGCUCAGGGGCGCGUGCGGAGCCCCUCCCCUCAGCCUCGCUAUAAAAGCUAUGCCUACACCCAGGCUGCAUAUGUCAAGUCGCCAGAGCAAAAGAGGAGACGUUUUACGGAGCAGUUCCUGACCCGCAGCCAGGAGGAGCUUCAGCGGGGCCUCAGUCCUCUGCCUCCUGGAUCCACCAGCCUGGAGAGCUACCAGGCUUCACUGGAGGAGGUGUUGACGUGGCUGCUGUCGGCUGAGGACGGCCUCCACGGUCAGCCCUCCGUCUCCACCCACGUGGAGGAGGUGAAGGAGCAGUUCCACACGCAUGAGGGCUACAUGGUGGAGCUGACCACCCAUCAGGGCAGCGUCGGCCGUGUCCUGCGGGCCGGCGCCGCCCUGCUGGCGGAGAGUAACCUCAGUGAGGACGAGGACUCUGAGGUCAGGGAGCAGAUGAACCUCCUGAACUCCCGCUGGGAACACCUGAGAGUAGCAAGCAUGGAGAGACAGAACAGACUCCAUGAAGUCCUGAUGGAGCUGCAGAACAAGCAGCUGCAGCAGCUCACCGAGUGGCUGGACGUCACAGAGGCUCGCAUCAAGAAGAUCGGCGCUCAGCCGCUCGGUCCCGACCUGGAGGACAUCAAGCACCAAGUGGAGGAGCACAAGCUCCUCCAGGAGGACUUGGAGUUGGAGCAGGUGAGGGUGAAUUCUCUGACCCACAUGGUGGUGGUUGUCGACGAGAACACCGGAGACAGCGUGACCGCCGCCUUGGAGAGCAAACUCCAGGUUCUCGGUGACCGCUGGGCAGCGAUUUGCAGAUGGACAGAAGAGCGCUGGAUUCUGCUUCAGGAGAUUCUGUUAAAAUGGCAGCACUUCACUAACGAACAGUGUUUGUUUGACUCCUGGCUGACUCAAAAGGAGGAGCUGGUUCGCUCCACCAAGACCUCCAACCUCAAAGACCAGGCGGAGACGGCGGCCUGUUUGCGCCGUCUGUCUGCACUGAAGGGAGAACUAGAGGCCAAGCUUCCCACCAUGGAUAAGCUGUGCUCUAUGAGCCAGGAUCUGCUGUUCAGUGUCAAGAACAAAGACGUCGCCUCCAAACUGGAGGCCAGAUUGGACAGCUUUGCUCAGCGAUGGGACCGACUGGUCCAAAACCUGGAGAGGAACAUCUCCCAGCUUCCCCCGGCUGUCGGCACCACCAAGCAGUCCGAGGCGCCCCAGUCUGUCACAGCGACCGUUACCAAGGUGACCACCAGGGAGAAGGUGCCGGCUUUGCGCCACGCUCGAGAGUCGCCGCCGCCUCAGAAGAAGAGACAAGUGGUGGUGGAUUCUGAGCUCAGGAAAAGGUUUGACGUGGACUUCACAGAGGUGCACAGCUACAUGACCCGCGGCGAGGCCAUCCUGCAGAGCCCCGAGUUCUCCGUGUCGCGCAAAGACGGCAGCCUUCAGGAGCUGCACGACAAAGUCCAGGCCAUAGACCGAGAGCGGCCAGAGAAGUACAGGAAGCUCCAGGAGGCGACGCGCACGGCGCAGACGCUCGUCGAGCAGGAGGGGAGCCGAGCCGACGACAUCGCUCAGGCAGCAGACCAGCUGAACCAGCGCUGGGCAGGAUUCUGCGUCCUGCUGGCGGACCGCCUGACAUGGCUGGCCUACCAAACGAAGGUUUUGGCCUUUUACAGUUUGUACGAGCAAUGUGAGCAGGCAGUGGACGGCAGUGAGAACUGGCUCAAAGUGCAGGCGCCGCCAGCGUCGGAGCCAGAACCUCUCAAAGUGCAGCUGGACCGAUGUCGGGAGGAGAUUGCUCGCCUGUCGUCCCUCCAGCCCCAGGUUGACCUCCUGGAAAAGCGUCUGAAGGAACUGAAGGACGAAAAGGAAGGCGAGGAGGACCCGUCUGCCUUUCUGGAUGCCGACAUCACUGCCUUCAAAGAACACUACCACCAGGUGCUGGAGGACCUGCGGGCCAGAGAGAGGCAGCUACAGCUGGUUUUGGAAAGCUUACCCCCAGCUCGAUAUAAGGAGACCAUAUCUGCAUUGUUGGCAUGGUUACAGCAGUGCGAAGCCAAACUUUCCAUCCCGUCGACAGCUGUUACCGAGUAUCCCAUUAUGGAGCAGAGACUCAAGGAUCUUCAGGCUCUCCAGGAGGCCCUGGCUGAACACCAGGGCGAGGUUGACUACCUGACAUCAGCUGUCGAGCAGGUCUUUCAGAAAGCUCCACCAGACAUCAGCCAAAAGUAUCGCCUAGAGAUUGACGCCAUAAUGGCCCGCUGGAGACGACUGGGCUCCACGCUGACAGACAGCGUCCAGAGAAUCCAGGAGCUCAUGGCCAAACUGAUGCAGUUUGAGAAUGACGUGAAGACUCUGAAAAAGUGGAUGGCGGAUGUGGAUGUGUUUCUGAACGAGGAGUGGCCCGCUCUGGGAGACUCUGAGGCUCUGGAGAAACAGUUAGAGCAGUGCACAGCUCUGGUGAAUGACAUCCACACCAUCCAACCCAGCGUGAACGGAAUCAACGAAGUGGGUCUGUACCUUAAGAAAGAAGCAGAGCCACCCUUUGCCAUCCACAUCCAGAAAGAACUGGACGAACUGAACAUGCAGUGGGAGAAUGUAUGCAAACAGGCCUAUGCAAAGAAGUCGGCCUUGAAAGGGGGCCUUGACAAGACCAUGGCGUUGAGGAAGGAGAUGCAGGAAAUGCAAGAAUGGAUAAACCAGGCCGAGGAAGACUAUCUGGAGAGAGACUUCACAUACAAGACGCCUGAGGAGCUGCGGAAGGCAGUCGAGGAGCUCAAGAGGGCGCAGGAGGAGGUCCACUCUAAGGAGCAAAAGGUCAAACUCCUGACGGACAGCGUCAACAGUUUCAUCGGCAAGGCCCCGCCCACUGCCCACGAUGCAUUGCGCUCAGAGCUGGACGUACUAACGGCCAACUACCAGCGUUUGUGUAGCCGCCUGGAUGGAAAAUGUAAAACUCUAGAGGAGGUGUGGGCAUGCUGGUGCGAGCUGCUGUCCUACCUGGAGCAGGAGAACGCCUUCCUGGACCAGCUGGAGCAGAAACUGGACGACGUAGAAAACCUGCAGGGGGGAGCGGAGGAGCUGCAGGAGGCGCUGGAUAACCUCGAGGUUCUUCUGCAACACCCAGAGGACAACAGGAACCAGAUCCGAGAACUGGCCCAGACGCUGAUGGACGGAGGGGUUCUGGACGAACUGAUUCAGCAGAAACUGGACGCUUUCAACACCCGAUGGGACGAACUCAUGGCGAGGGCGGCGCUUAGGCGGAAGGAGCUGGAGCAGAGUUUGCGGUGGGCCCAGGAGAACGACAAGACGCUCCGACAGAUCCAGGAGUCUCUGGCGAACACGGACCGCCACCUCACCGCCUACCUGGCCGACCACAUCGACGCCCAGCAGAUACCGCAGGAGGCACAGAAAAUCCAGACAGAGUUGAAUGGCCAUGAAGCAGCUCUGGCAGACAUGAGGAAGAACAACCAGGAUAAGGACCCUUCGCACCGGAUGGUGGGACAGAUAGACCAAACUCAGAAAAUGCUUGGCGACGUCUGGACCAAGUUCCGCCUCUUCCAGAAGCCGGCCAACUUCGACUCCCGCCUGGCCGAGUGCGAGCGAGUGUUGGCCGGGGUCAAAAGCCAGGUGGGGUUGCUGGACAUCCGCAGCGUGGAGCAGGACGUGGUUCAGUCGCAGCUGGACCAGUGCAUGAAACUGUACAAGACCCUGAGCGAAGUGAAGGGGGAGGUGGAGACGGUGAUUAAAACGGGGAGACAGAUCGUCCAGAGGCAGCAGACGGAGCAACCCAAAGAGCUGGACGACAGGGUGACCGCCCUGAAACUGCUCUACAACCAGCUGGGAUCGCAGGUGACUGAGAACAAACUGGAGCUGGAGAAGAGCCUGAAGUUGUCCAGGAAGUUGCGUAAGGAGCUGAACGGGCUGACGGAGUGGCUCGCCGCUACCGACGCCGAGCUGACGAGGCGCUCCGCCGUGGAGGGCAUGCCCGGUGACCUGGAGGCUGAGGUCGCCUGGGCACAGUCCGUCCAUAGUGACAUCGAGAGGCAUCAGCCCCAGCUGCAGGCGGUGGUGGAUCUCGCAGAGGCCCUCAAGGCAGUGCUGAAGGGCAACGGAGGCUUAGUGGACGACAAAGUCAGCCUGCUGCACUGCAACUGGAUCGCUGUCACGUCCAGGGCAGAGGAAUGGCUCAACCUGCUGCUGGAUUACCAGCAGCAGCUGCAAAAGUUAGACGGAGAGAUUAAGGAAGUGAAUGAAUGGAUUGACGGAGCAGAGAGAAAGAUGGACGAAAUAGACAGUCAAGGUCCCAAUGAUGCUGUGAUGAAGGUGUUGCGUGCUGAGCUGGAGCUGACCAAAGCGAAGAUGGAGGAAGUUAGAGAACUGGCACAGGAGCUCAUGUCCACCAGAGGAGAGAACUGCCAGGCCCAAGUAGGACCCAGAAUGGAGCAGCUUAACCAGAGGUUCGACAUCAUCUCUCAAAGGAUCGCCUCUGGUUUGAUGGCAGCGUCAGCCAGGGAGCUGGAACAGUACCACAGCGAAGUACGGGUCUGGCUUGAGCUGCUGGAGGAGGAAGCCAAACAGGGAGAGAACCUAAAGGAGGAGGACUUCCAAGAGGACAAGAAUUGUGAAGAGGGCGCAGUGCAAGAGUUGCUGUUGAAAGGAGAGAACCUGCAAAAGAGAGCCCCAGAUCAAGACAAGAGAGAGCAGAUAAGACAGAAACACAACCAGCUCAACAGCAAAUACAACACUGUAAAGGACCUGCGUAUCCUGAGGAAUAGAAAGGCUCUGGCCAUCGCUCCCCAGUGGUACCAGUACAGAAGGAAAUCCCAUGACCUCAUGGCCUGGCUGGACGACAUCCAGCGCAGCGUGGACCAACUUCCUGACCCACCCGAGGGAGAGCGGGUCAAGGAAAUUGGCUCAGUGUUCGACAAGAAGAAGGAGGAGCUUAAGGAGAUGCAGGGCUUAGCCAAUCAGCUCUCACAGGCUGGAGCCGCCAAUCUAGUGGAGCCCCGCCAACUCCAGCUCAAGACCCGCUGGGUUGAGGUGGAGGGCAUGUUCAUACCCUUCAAAAGACGCUGUGAGUACCUGACAGAGCUCCAGGCGCUGCUGCGUUCGGUGUCAGAGACGGACUUCAAGCUGAACUCUCCUGAAUACUGGCCUGCAGCAUAUUAUAACCUGCCGCAGCAAGAGCACUGCCUGAAGGACGUGAAGGAGAACAUAGACAAGCUGCACGGCGCAGUGGAAGGAGCGCUGGCCCAGAGAGAAGAGAUGGUGACGGGUUCUCGACCUUUGGAAGGUCACAGGGUUCAGGAGACUGCGUCCCUACUCAACAACAACUGGGACAAACUAAACAAGCUGUACAAAGACAGACUGAAGCGUUGGAAGGACUGUAACUCCAAAUGGCAGAGGUUUGUUUCGGACCAGAAGGAAGUGGAGGAAUGGCUGAGCAACGCCGAGAACACUUUGAAACUGUCUGAGAGUGAGCCGGCAGCACACAGACAGCAACUCAGGGACCUGGUGGACGACAUACCUCACCAGGAGGUGGUGUUAGGCAGAGUGAACUCUGCAGGAGAAGACAUCGGCCAGAUGAGCACAUUAGAUGAUGCCUUACGCCUCCGAUCGCAGCUUAAACUACUCAACACUCACUGGGCCAACAUCUGCCAGGAGCUCAGGGAGCGUAAGAGGAGGUCUGGCGAGGCACGAACAGCUGCUGCAGAGUUUGAGGAGGACAUGGGCUCGAUGCUGGGCUGGCUGGAUAAAGCGGAGGGUGUGCUGGCCAUCCCUCUGCACCCCCCAGAACCACAGCACAUCAGAGACACUUUGAGCAAAGUCCAGACACGUGUUGAGGAGCUUCCCGCGAAGAAGUCGGCAGUGGAGAAUCUGAACGCCAAGCAGAAGAUGCUAACCCUUCUUCCUGCUGACAAGCACAAAGACAUCAGGGGCAUCAACACUCGCUGGGCUCAGGUGUCUAGGGCUCUACCUGAGCGUCAGCUGGAGAUCGAGGGUCUGCUGAAGGAGCUUUUGAAGCUCCAAGGCGAGCUGGACGACCUGUCAGGCUGGGCGUCGAGCACGAGGGCCAAGCUGGAGCAGAGCACCCAGGAACCACCGCCCAGACUAAUCGAGGACGUUCAGCAGAAGAAGCCAGAAGUGGAGUUUGUUUUGGAGCGAGCCAGUCAGAUGUACAGGGAGACUCCUCCUGGACGGCUGGAGAAGGGGAAACAUGUGAAGCUAAGGGAGGAUUGGACGGUGAUCCUGGAGCUGCUGCAGCAGCACAAAGAAAGGAUGGCUGAUGCUCUCGUCUCCAAAAAAGCCCACGAAGGCCUGACAGGAAGUUCCCAGCAUGAAUCUGCUGCGCUCCAGCAGUUCAACAAAUCCUGGGCUGAGCUCACCGAUUGGCUGAAGAUGCUGGACAACAUGGUGCAAAACAAGCAGGUGGUGGUCGCUGACCUGGACGACAUCAACGAAAACAUAAACCAGCUCAAGGGAUCUCUUCAGGAGCUCGACAAGCGGCGCCCCCUCCUGGAGAAACAAGUAACGGCAGCACAGAACCUGAAGAACAAGACCAGCAACCAGGACACGCGCAAUGUCAUCACGGAACGCAUCGACAGGCUUCAGACCCACUGGGAAGACUCUCAGACCAAACUCUCCGACAGGCUCAAGCAAAUCCUCAACAUGCUGCAGGACUCCACAAACUGGCUGGAUGCAAAGCGGGAGGUGGACUUCCUCAUCAAACAGGCCAGUGGGCGGCUGGAAUCGUGGCAGGAGAUCACGUACACAGCGGACGCGCUGAAGAAGCAACACGCAGAUCUGAGGGUCUUCAUGAAGGACCUGAAGCAGUGGCAGGGACAGGUGGCCGAAACCAACGCGCUGGCCAACAAGCUGCUGACGCUGUACGCCAACGACGACACGCACAAGGUCACCCAGGUCAAUGACAACAUGCUGGCGACGUGGGCGCACAUCAACAAACGAGUUUCAGACCGGGAGGCGGCUGUGGAAGCCGGCCUGAAGCUGCUCCACCAGUUCUACCUGGACCUGGAGAAGUUCCUCAGCUGGCUGACGGAGGCGGAGACCACCUGCAAUGUUUUAAUAGAUGCCACCAACAAGGAGAGGCUGCAGGAUCAGCCUGAGGCGGCCAAGAGGCUGCUGGGCCAGUGGAAGGACCUCGAGGCAGAGGUGGACGGCCAUGAAGAACUGUAUCACUCCCUGGAUGAGAACGGCCAGAGGAUCCUGACCUCUCUGAGGGACCCUGAGGACCGGGUUCUGCUCCAGAGACGUCUGGACAACAUGAGGCAGCGCUGGAACGACCUGCGCAGCAAGACUUUCAGCAUGAGGUCACAGCUGGACUCCGACAUGGCUCCCUGGAAGAGGCUCCACAUGUCACUGCAGGAGCUGCUGAACUGGCUCAGACUCAAGAGUCAGCAGCUGGAGCAGGAGAAGCCUGUAGGGGGCGACGUUCCUGCCGUGCAGACCCAGCUGGAUACCCACAGAGGGUUCAAAAUAGAGCUCAGAGCCAAGGAUCCGGUAGUGACCAAGGCUCUUGAUGAUGCGGGAUUCUUCCUGUCUGAACUGCCUAGAGAGUCACCAUCACCUGAACUGAGAGACAUCAGCCCGGAGGAGCGUGCUCAGAACGUGGGCCGAGUGUUGCGCAAAGAGGCGGACGAUGUGGUGAGCCGCUGGGACCGGCUCAACGUCGACUCGGCCGACUGGCAGAGGAGGUUGGAGUUGGCCCUGGACAGACUGAUGGAGCUCCAGGAAGCAGAAGACCUGCUGGACAAACAGCUGAAGCAGGCGGAGAUGGUGAAGCAGGGCUGGGAACCUGUAGGGGAACUGUUGAUUGACUCCUUACCAGAGCACAUCAGUAGAGUCAAGGAGUUCCAGGAAGAAAUAGCUCUGAUUAAGGACGAUGUGACACACAUGAACCAUUUGGCAUCCACGUUCGAUCCAUCCGACAUCCAGUUGUCUCCUAGCAACCUGGAACGCAUUGAAGACCUCAACACGCGCUGGAGACUGCUCCAAAUAUCUGUCAAAGAACAUCUGAAGCAGCUGACAGACGCUCACACAGACUUCUGCCUCUCUCAAGGAUCAGUAGAAAGACCGUUCGAGCAGGGCAUCUCUCCAAACAAUGUGCCCUAUUAUAUCAACCACCAGACCCAGACGACAUGCUGGGACCAUCCCAAGAUGACAGAGCUCUACCAGUCUCUGGCCGACCUGAACAACGUUCGGUUCUCGGCCUACCGCACAGCCAUGAAGCUCAGGCGCCUGCAGAAAGCUCUCUGCUUGGACCUCCUGAGCAUGCAGACGGCGUGCGAGGUGUUCGAGCAGCACACCCUGAAGCAGAACGAGCAGCUGCUGGACAUCUCCCAGCUGGUGACCUGCCUCACCAGCCUGUACCAGCGGCUGGAGCAGAGCCACUCCCACCUGGUCAACGUCCAGCUGAGCGUGGACAUGUGCCUCAACUGGCUGCUCAACGUCUACGACACCGGGCGCACCGGGAAGAUUCGGACUCUGUCGUUCAAAACUGGAAUCAUCUCGCUUUGCAAAGCCCACCUGGAGGAUAAAUACCGAUUUUUGUUCCGACAGGUCACCAGCGCCACGGGUUUUUGUGACCAGCGCCGUUUGGGCCUCCUCCUCCACGACUCCAUCCAGAUCCCCCGGCAGCUCGGCGAGGUGGCGUCCUUCGGCGGCUCCAACAUCGAGCCCUCCGUCCGCAGCUGCUUCCAGUUUGCCAACAACAAACCUGAGCUGGAGGCCUCCAUGUUCCUGGACUGGAUGCGUCUGGAGCCUCAGUCCAUGGUUUGGCUCCCGGUCCUGCACCGGGUCGCGGCUGCAGAAACCGCCAAGCACCAAGCCAAGUGCAAUAUCUGCAAGGAGUGUCCGAUCAUUGGGUUCAGAUAUCGGAGCCUGAAACAUUUCAACUAUGACAUUUGCCAAAGCUGCUUCUUCUCCGGCCGCGUUGCCAAGGGACACAAGAUGCAAUACCCCAUGGUGGAAUACUGCACUCCGACCACAUCAGGGGAGGAUGUGCGGGAUUUUGCCAAGGUGCUGAAGAACAAAUUCAGGACCAAGCGCUACUUUGCCAAACACCCACGCAUGGGCUACCUGCCCGUCCAGACCAUCCUGGAGGGGGACAACAUGGAAACUCCUGUCACUCUGAUCAACUUCUGGCCUGUAGACCAUGCGCCUGGAUCGUCCCCUCAACUCUCUCACGACGACACACAUUCUCGGAUCGAGCACUACGCCAACCGGUUAGCUGAAAUGGAGAACCGUAAUGGCUCUUAUCUGAAUGACAGUAUCUCACCCAAUGAGAGCAUCGAUGACGAGCACAUGUUGAUCCAGCACUACUGCCAGUCUCUGAACCAAGGCUCUCCUCUCAGUCAGCCCCGCAGCCCCGCCCAGAUCCUCAUCUCCAUGGAAACAGAGGAGAAGGGAGAGCUGGAGAGGGUCCUGGGUGACCUGGAGCAGGAGAACAGGAAGCUGCAGGCCGAGUACGACCGUUUGAAAAAAGCCCACGACAGGAAAGGUCUGUCCCCGCUGCCUUCGCCGCCCGAGAUGCUCCCGGUGUCGCCGCAGAGCGCUCGGGACGCCGAGCUCAUCGCCGAGGCCAAGCUGCUGCGGCAGCACAAAGGUCGCCUGGAGGCCCGCAUGCAGAUACUGGAGGACCACAACAAACAGCUGGAGUCCCAGCUGCACAGGCUGAGGCAACUUCUGGAGCAGACGGAUUCCAAGGUGAACGGCACGGCCCUCUCCUCCCCCUCCACCUCUUCCCAGCGCUCCGACUCGUCUCUGCCGCUGCUGCGUGUGGCAGCCAGCCAGACUACUGACACAAUGGGCGACGAUGAGUUUUCCAGUCCUUCCCAAGAUGCAUCUGGCCUGGAGGAAGUGGUGGAGCAGCUCAACAACACGUUCCCGCACAGCCAGAGCGGGAGAAGGGGACAUCCAUGAGAGGUCAGUCUCAACUCAAUUAAUCGUCCGCCAUGUGGAACAGGCUGCCGAUGCUGGGAACUGCAGGGAAAGGAUUAGCAUCAUUACAAAUAAAAGGUCUCAGCAUCGGCAGCCUGUUCCACAUGGCGGAUGAUCGGGCCGCGCCAUGGAGUCGCUGGUCAGCGCCAUGACCGCCGAACGCAGCCUGGAACUCCUGCGUCCUUUUUGAUCCCCCCUCCAUCAUACCGCAUGCUUUUCUAGUCGAAACAACUGGAUUGGAACCUGUUUACACAGAGAAUAUAAUGUCUAUUUUUGUGAAGGAUUGCAGUUAAAGCAACAAGUACAAAAAAAAAAGAAUCUAAGAUUUGAGUAGUUUCUUAAAACAUCCUGUUUUAUUGUUAAAAGGAGCUGGUUUUUAAACUUCUAUGCAAUUGUAUAAAACGAGAAGCGGGGUUGAGAAACAGAGACGGCGUCUUCAGUGUCCUCAUAUAUUUGCUAUCUCUUUCUAACUGGGGAAAUGAGCUGAAGCAUUUCUCACUAGUUUCAAACGAUUGUAACAAUGGGGGUGUUUUCUAAGAGGCAGUUCUCUUUGUGUGUGUGAGUGUGUGGUGCCUAAAACUUCAUAACAGUUUGUUUUGGUUUUUUGGACAUUAAUAUUUUGGACAGUACAAGCUCUGCUGAUCCUAACAGUAAAGCAAAGAUUAAAAAAAAGAAAAACGCCUCAUUGCAUUGAGAAGAGUUUUCAGAAAGUCACCAGAGGGCGCUGUUGAGUUUUUGGGUUUUUUAACUUUUUACUAGGUAAACAAAUUCAACACGUUGAUUUGCAGCUCAUCACUUGACUUUCACAAAUCUUACAUCUGUCUUGUUACAACUACAAAUGUGUCAUUUCCCUCAAAGGUCAGAUUUGUGGCUUGGCUGCUCAAAAGGUCAAAGUGUUCAAGUGCAAAACCAAGUUGUUGUUUUUUUUCUAUCGUCUAAAGAAGAAGAAUGAAUCUGCUCCCAUUUCACACGGAGAAAGAAAAGUCUUCCUCAGACUAGAAACUUUAACAGUCAAUGCCUUGAUCCAUGCAGCAUAGGUUACAUUUUAACUGUUAUUACCUGUUAUUAACUCAACAACCUCACGUGAAGUUUGGAUGUUAGUUUGACCUCUAAUCAGUUCCACACUCCAAGAUUAGUAAAAAUCAAAAAGAUAUUUCUAAUUGAACACUGGUGGACGCUGAAUGUUCUGUCAAACCUAAUCUGGUUUUUUGUUACAUUUUGUCUUUGGUUCAAAGCAGGUUGGCUUUGCUCUGAUAUUAACAUGUGACUAAAAGAAAAAAAACUAAAUCUUAAUUUGUAAUAAAUUAGUUGUUUCAUCAGAUUCCUGCAGCAUGACCCAGUGAGUUUGAAAUUUGGACCCAAGUUGAUUUAUUUCUUUUUCUUUUUCAAAGAAUGUCAUUUUCACCUAAUUUUUUUUCAAAUACUUUGGUACUUUACAACAUAUCAGAGUCCAUCAAAUGUAUGCCUUACUACUGUACUAUAAAAUGCUUUACUGUACAUCAAUAAAGCAUGCCGUUAUGUUGA